AAUCGUGAACGCGAUGAACAAAACCAGCGAGUACUUAUAUAUGGCUGUUGAUGUCGAUGUUGAAACUGAUCGUUCAUAAAACAUAGGCAUUCCUGCAUUUUUUCCUCGUUCAUAAUCACUUGAAGAGUUUUUCCAAUUUUCUUUGUACAGCUCACUGAAAUACUAAUGUUAUUCAUUUUGAGCGAAAAACCUAACCUCAAAAAACACGUUCAAAUCUUUUAAAAGACCUUAUCAUACGCGAGAUAUCCGCAGGGCAAUUUGGAGUUGGAUUAUUUUUUGACAGCACGUUAGAUACGUUUUGACUAAUAGUUUCGUUCCUGGUAUUUAACGUUUCGCAACAAAAUUGAACUAUGGAAUUUCAAGUUAUGGAAGAAACAUACAGAAUUCUUAAAUAUUGUAUCUCAUCUCGUCCGGGUGGUAUACCGCAGAACGAACUAGACGACGAAUUCUUCAAAUUGACUGGAAAUUACAUACCGUAUCUCAGUCUUGGGUUCAACAGUCUGUACGAGUACAUGGGAUCGAUAAAAGAAAUUGUUAAGAAGCGCAAUCGAGAAAACCAGUUGAUUUACGUUGUUGAUGAUCCAAACGAUGAUCCGUUGAGUAGUUUGAACACAAAACUAUCAGGACUGAAUGUUCAAUCGCUCUAGAAAUGUUGAUUUCACACUGGUAACUUUAGUUUUUCAAGUCCCAUUACAAAGAUGGGAAAUAUCUGGUAACAUAAUUCAAAUUUUGGAGAGACACUUCUGACUAAAAUUCAUUUCUCCAUGAUUUUAUUCCGAUUUCCUAUGACGUAUAUGGAACAAUUCACGACCCUGAUUACUUUAUUUGAUUAAUGUUCUGAGACAUCUAAUGACAACUGUUUAGUUGCAAAUCGACCUCAAUAAUGUGUUCUUGCAAGAAUUUGAAAAUCUUUACCGUUCUCAUAGUAUUGAUCAUUGAGGAAGAGUCUCAAUGGCUUAGAAUUUCUGAAACAACACGAUUAUCAUUGAAGUUCUAAAACAAUGUAUAUUAAAAUUUGUUAUAAGCUAAUUCACAAAAAUAUUCGUCCAAAUUUUUUGUGAUAAAGCCAACGCUACAAGCUCACAAUUUUGUAAGUAACAAUAGUAACAUAAGACCUAUGAGCUUUCAUGACGGAUAGCACAAAGUUUUGUAAUCUUAGAAUCGUGUGAAAUGAAAAGUUAAAAGUGGUACAUUGCAAUAAAAUGAAUCAGCUGUGAAACCUCCAGAAGGGAUUAUUUGAUAGCAGAGUACUUAAAAAAAUCGUUUGUCAGUGGAAAGCUGUAGCACAACGCAACGAAAAUUGUUACCAUCGACAGUUUUGACAGAUUUGGAUCUCGAGUUCUAAAUACAAAAGGUUGAAAUAUUAUAGCACUGGAUCUCUCCCGAAAUUCUGAUCGGUCGUAGUGUUUCUGAGCUUCUCUAUAGAAAAAUUUAAUUUUCAUUCUUUGUUAUCGAAUUUUUUUGUCUUGUCACUGCAUUUCUCCACUGAUCCAAUGAUCAUGUGGCCAUGCAAAAAAUUUGAACUUCGUUGACAAAUAUGCCAAGAAUGGGGAGUACAUCUGGAAAUUUGCUAAACAGUCGAGUGCUGAUCCAAGAGUUCUUAGUUAUUAUCGGCGGUUUGCUGAACAAAAAUCCGUACAAAUCCGUACAAUUGUAGAAAAUGUAAAAAUUUCGGAUGUUUAAUUUUCUGUACAACAGCAAUUAAAAUUAAACCGCUUCAGUGGUAA
Venturia canescens is the source of this 1727-nucleotide long non-coding RNA. RefSeq lists it as uncharacterized. NCBI's taxonomy places the organism in Eukaryota, Metazoa, Arthropoda, Insecta, Hymenoptera, Ichneumonidae. The transcript is spliced from 3 exons. The record is from RefSeq and is a predicted model, not a curated record.